Molecule: ribosomal RNA, 253 nt
Filed under: uncultured bacterium
Lineage: Bacteria
Description: partial 16S ribosomal RNA
Rfam family: Bacterial small subunit ribosomal RNA
Source: RNAcentral
UACGAAGGGGGCUAGCGUUGCUCGGAAUCACUGGGCGUAAAGGGUGCGUAGGCGGGUCUUUAAGUCAGGGGUGAAAUCCUGGAGCUCAACUCCAGAACUGCCUUUGAUACUGAGGAUCUUGAGUUCGGGAGAGGUGAGUGGAACUGCGAGUGUAGAGGUGAAAUUCGUAGAUAUUCGGAAGAACACCAGUGGCGAAGGCGGCUCACUGGCCCGGUACUGACGCUGAGGAGCGAAAGCGUGGGGAGCGAACAGG